UGGCGCGGCCUCCCUUGCCCAGCAGGGGCCAGAGGCCUUUCUUUUAGGCCCUUUCUUUCUUCUGGGGCUUUCUUCUGGGGCUUUCUUCUGGGGCUCCGCUGGCCUGCACUGAGAUUGUGAGGGGUCAGGCAGAAAGUGCACAAACACUGGGGUUUGCAUGAUGGGUGGUAUGAUCCGGACUCUGCGGACGCUCUGGCAGGCGGGGCCUCAGGCACCCCACACGCAGGUGUUUCUCAUUGCAGGCUUCCCUGCGCCCAGGCGUGGAAAUCUCAAUAUCCCGCCAGAUCUGGCUUCGCUCCAGGAAGAGUGGUGAGGGCUGCAGAGCCUGGGGCCCCAGUCUGCGGUUCUCUGGGUCUUCUCUGUCACUCAGCCCACCCUCUCCCUGUCGCCUCGCCUGGACCCACUUACACCCGAAGGCACAAAGAGCGCUGUGUGGGCUCCAACUGCACUCUCUUGGAAAAAAUACGUGCCUAUCUACGAACCUCCCUUUGAAUACACCUGGACCAGUUUCUACUGUCAGAUCCUGGAUAAAGGACAAUAAAGAAAAAUUCACAUUUUGAAAAAUAAGCAGAAUGCCGAAGAUGCCAAUUCAAGAAGCUCCUGACAAUUGCCAAUCUACUUUGCCACAAGAUAGAAAUCAGAUGCCAGGAGUCCUUCAGGACAUCCCCUACUGUGUGUCAGCGGCAUGAACAUCAGUUUUCAUCGUGUGGACAGACAGAAAGAAAGUCCCAAGUGAGGAGAAUGUCUAAAACUGGAGGUGGAUUGAUUGAUAAAGUAACAAAGAGCAGAAUGUGUACUUCGAACUCAGCUACCAGCAUCUAUGUCCAUCCAUUCAACAGAUAUUGACUGAACAUAUAUAUGCCAGGGCCCUGAGGUUUCCCACCACCAGGAAUGCUCACAGCAUGGAUGACUGACACCCAGGGAGUUUGGGAACUGAGGAGGAUCUUUUUCCCACGUCAUUCAACCUCCUCCUGGAUUCUGAGGAAAUCAGAGCAACUGUAAGCAAGGGACCCCAGCCACCACAAGAACCCUAGGCCUCCUGGGCCAACCUCAGCAACUUCCUUUCCCUUCAACUAAACUCAGGGGACAGGAACACUUGGACCCUUUUGGCAGAUUUAUAUAGUGUUCACCAGGCCCAGGAAUCUCCUUGAGUGCCCAAUAAAACAAGGUAUUUUUGCUCUUGUUUUAUUCCCAGGACCUAGACUUUCAUUACAAAAUAAAAUUUAGAAAUAAAAAUAAAGCUUCCUUCACUCCUGGGGCUUCUACCCUCUUUGCCUAUGAGCUGCCCUGCCCUUCUGGUUCUCAGGCUCUUGGUCUGUAACUCUCAGGAUUUCCAACUUCCUGCCUCUUCCCCAAACUGAUGCCACUUUCCCAGGCACUGGGAGUCACGUCUGAAAGGGUCAGUCCCCGGAAUUCCUUGUGGUAACAGCGGGGAGACAGCCACUCCUGUCUGUUAAUUGGCACAGGAAAUGAGCAAAGUUGAAUGUGGUUCUCCUGUGAUUAGAAACCUUUUAAAACAACAAGCAUGGCUGAAUCUUUCCUUCAAAGAGGGUUUAGAGUGGGUCGAGAAACCUGAGAAGUAUCUAGGUGACUUAAUGAAAAAGUUAGAUUGGAGUCUUUUCAUUUUGUAGAGUGAAAAUGUAAAACAAAACAAGAAGUGAAACAUUCCUAAAUGUUAGAGACUCAUGAGUCUCCCUCACACUUCUCUCUGGUGUUGCUAAAAUAAAUCAUACAGAACACAUCCCAUUUAGUUUCCUUUCCCAUUCAUCCUCCUUUCCCUCAUGUCUUCAUAGCGGGCCUUUUAAGGAUCUGAGAGUCUUUUUAAGUGCUGCCUCCUCCCGAUUUUGCUCUCUGACAGAUGUUGAUUUUAAUGAUUCCCCCUUCUUAGGUUUCAAAACCAUCAGGGUGUUUGUUCUUGUAACUAAAAAUUAAACUGGAAUAAAACUUGUUUUAUUUCAGAGAGAUCUAGGGAGGAGUUGAGAAGGCCUACCUACAAUGUUAUUAAGAUAUGAAGAAAAUAGUAUGUGCACAGAGGCAUGCACCCUACCUUUUACCACCUUCGGUAGAAUCCACUCACACUUUUGCUUAUACAGCUAUACACUUAUAUUUUCUUUGUUCCCUAAGUGCUUAACUCAGUCCUGAGCACAGAGUAAGCACUUAAUACACUUUUGCUGAUGUGAAUUGAAGGCCUGGGGUAUUUCCUACAGAUUAAGCAAUUUUGACACCAUAAUCCCUAAAUAAUUCCCAGGAAGUGCCUUGCACAAUGGUUUCUAUUGCAGGCACAUUAGGACUCUUGAUUCCUGUCUUUUGCUGUUUGUUUCUGGUUCAUGUGUCAAGCCACUCACUCACUACCUCUUGGUUCAGUUCUUUAGAUAGUCAGAGGAAAAUGAGUGAUAAGUCUGGGGCAGGGCAUUUUUAUUCUCCAUGUCUCAGAAACUAGAUUGCAAAGCAGAGAAUUUGUCCUCUUUGCUGAGUAAUAUAAUGAUUAUCACCCACAAAUAUUUGGAGAGGGGUGGUCAAAUGCAGCAAGAAGAGAUGAAGGUACUUUCAAUAGAAAUGAAACAGUUCCAAUUCUGAGGCCUACUCUGAGCAUGGGGAAAUGUGGGUGAAAUAUUAUAGCAGCAACAGGAAUGCUUAUUGAACUGUGAAAAGCAUUUGCUACAUAAAGAGGGCCUUAAUUCCUUUGAUGUUAUCAGGGAGGGAUGUAUUAGGUUCUGCAAAGCAAGUGGCAAUGAUCAGCAAAUGCAUUUUUAAAAUGUUCUUCUCCUUUAAUAUCAGAUGACUAUAACUUAAUCUCUAGUUUGAGGGUUAUUCUUCUUACCCCUCCCCCCAAAAGAGGGUGUGGUCAGGGCAAUUAAGAAGACCAAUUAAGAGGGCCAUUUUAAUUUCUAGAAUGAGUCACCAUCUUAUUCUUACUAUUCUGUUGCUUUUGUAUUUAUGAGAAACAUAAAUUGAGACGUUGGGAUCUCUGAACUAACAAAGAAUUGUGUAUAAAUUACGACUCUAUUAAUUGAAAUAGAAGACUAUGGCAUUUGAUAAUCAGAUACAAAAAUGUCCAUAAUAAUUUGUAUUUACUUUCCAAACAGUUCUGUAGAACCAAGUUGGAAAUCCUUUAAGAAAUUAUAUUAUAAAAAUAAAGGCAUGGAAAAUCACAUUUGAUUUUGAAAGGGCAAAAACUUUUUUAAGUAAAAAAUUUAUUCCCUUUUUCAUUCUUUAAU
Molecule: long non-coding RNA, 3218 nt
Organism: Felis catus (domestic cat)
Lineage: Eukaryota; Metazoa; Chordata; Mammalia; Carnivora; Felidae
Exons: 7
Source: RefSeq, a predicted model, not a curated record